Molecule: ribosomal RNA, 449 nt
Filed under: uncultured bacterium
Lineage: Bacteria
Description: partial 16S ribosomal RNA
Rfam family: Bacterial small subunit ribosomal RNA
Source: RNAcentral
AGCGAACGCUGGCGGCAGGCUUAACACAUGCAAGUCGAACGCAUCCUUCGGGGUGAGUGGCAGACGGGUGAGUAACGCGUGGGAACAUGCCCUUUGGUUCGGAAUAACUCAGGGAAACUUGAGCUAAUACCGGAUAAGCCCUUUUGGGGAAAGAUUUAUCGCCGAAGGAUUGGCCCGCGUCCGAUUAGCUAGUUGGUGAGGUAAUGGCUCACCAAGGCGACGAUCGGUAGCUGGUCUGAGAGGAUGAUCAGCCACACUGGGACUGAGACACGGCCCAGACUCCUACGGGAGGCAGCAGUGGGGAAUAUUGGACAAUGGGGGCAACCCUGAUCCAGCCAUGCCGCGUGAGUGAUGAAGGCCCUAGGGUUGUAAAGCUCUUUCGGCGGGGACGAUAAUGGCGGUACCCGCAGAAGAAGCCCCGGCUAACUUCGUGCCAGCCGCCGCUGUAA